This 497-nucleotide ribosomal RNA is filed under the name uncultured bacterium. Its description in RNAcentral is "partial 16S ribosomal RNA". It matches the Rfam family "Bacterial small subunit ribosomal RNA", at positions 28 to 507 of the family's 1533-position model. The record is from RNAcentral.
GAUGAACGCUGGCGGCGUGCCUAAUACAUGCAAGUCGAGCGAACGGACGAGAAGCUUGCUUCUCUGAUGUUAGUGGCGGACGGGUGAGUAACACGUGGAUAACCUACCUAUAAGACUGGGAUAACUUCGGGAAACCGGAGCUAAUACCGGAUAAUAUUUUGAACCGCAUGGUUCAAAAGUGAAAGACGGUCUUGCUGUCACUUAUAGAUGGAUCCGCGCUGCAUUAGCUAGUUGGUAAGGUAACGGCUUACCAAGGCAACGAUGCAUAGCCGACCUGAGAGGGUGAUCGGCCACACUGGAACUGAGACACGGUCCAGACUCCUACGGGAGGCAGCAGUAGGGAAUCUUCCGCAAUGGGCGAAAGCCUGACGGGGCAACGCCGCGUGAGUGAUGAAGGUCUUCGGAUCGUAAAACUCUGUUAUUAGGGAAGAACAUAUGUGUAAGUAACUGUGCACAUCUUGACGGUACCUAAUCAGAAAGCCACGGCUAACUACGUG